RNAcentral lists this long non-coding RNA (254 nucleotides) under Panax ginseng (ginseng). RNAcentral describes it as "long non-coding RNA (PGIN_LNC013233)". Lineage: Eukaryota; Viridiplantae; Streptophyta; Magnoliopsida; Apiales; Araliaceae. The record is from RNAcentral.
UCAAAAGGAAAAUCCUUAUUUCUCCGAUCUUAUUUUGGUUCGUUUUCUAUCCCAAAUCUGAAGUUCCGGAAAACUACUGCACCUCCUUCGUCUCUCUACCGACUACCGGUGUCGAAGAAGCCACCCUUCUCUCUCGCGUCUCUCUAGGUACUUUCCUGUAAGAGCUUGAUUGUAUUUAAUGUUGCUAGAACUAUUUAAUAUGGUGAACAUUUGGUGUGAUUAGGGUUCAAUUAAACUGGGGUUUUGGAUUUGGG